GUCUACGGCCAUGCCACCCUGAACAAGCCCGAUGUCUGAUCUUGGAAGCUAAGCGGGGUCGGGCCUGUUCAGUACUUGGAUGGGAGACCACCUAGGAAGACUGGGUGCUGUAGGUG
This 116-nucleotide ribosomal RNA is filed under the name Pteropus alecto (black flying fox). Lineage: Eukaryota; Metazoa; Chordata; Mammalia; Chiroptera; Pteropodidae. The record is from RNAcentral.